UGCUUUCUCGAGCGAGUGGCGAACGGGUGAGUAACGCGUGAGGAACCUGCCUCAAAGAGGGGGACAACAGUUGGAAACGACUGCUAAUACCGCAUAAGCCCACGGGUCGGCAUCGACCAGAGGGAAAAGGAGCAAUCCGCUUUGAGAUGGCCUCGCGUCCGAUUAGCUAGUUGGUGAGGUAACGGCCCACCAAGGCGACGAUCGGUAGCCGGACUGAGAGGUUGAACGGCCACAUUGGGACUGAGACACGGCCCAGACUCCUACGGGAGGCAGCAGUGGGGAAUAUUGCACAAUGGGGGAAACCCUGAUGCAGCGACGCCGCGUGGAGGAAGAAGGUCUUCGGAUUGUAAACUCCUGUUGUUGGGGAAGAUAAUGACGGUACCCAACAAGGAAGUGACGGCUAACUACGUGCCAGCAGCCGCGGUAAAACGUAGGUCACAAGCGUUGUCCGGAAUUACUGGGUGUAAAGGGAGCGCAGGCGGGAAGACAAGUUGGAAGUGAAAUCUAUGGGCUCAACCCAUAAACUGCUUUCAAAACUGUUUUUCUUGAGUAGUGCAGAGGUAGGCGGAAUUCCCGGUGUAGCGGUGGAAUGCGUAGAUAUCGGGAGGAACACCAGUGGCGAAGGCGGCCUACUGGGCACCAACUGACGCUGAGGCUCGA
This 660-nucleotide ribosomal RNA is filed under the name uncultured Lachnospiraceae bacterium. RNAcentral describes it as "bacterial SSU rRNA". It matches the Rfam family "Bacterial small subunit ribosomal RNA", at positions 80 to 756 of the family's 1533-position model. Lineage: Bacteria; Bacillati; Bacillota; Clostridia; Lachnospirales; Lachnospiraceae. The record is from RNAcentral.